Molecule: ribosomal RNA, 704 nt
Filed under: uncultured bacterium
Lineage: Bacteria
Description: bacterial SSU rRNA
Rfam family: Bacterial small subunit ribosomal RNA
Source: RNAcentral
GUGCCAGCCGCCGCGGUAAUACGUAGGUGGCAAGCGUUGUCCGGAUUUAUUGGGCGUAAAGCGAGCGCAGGCGGUUUCUUAAGUCUGAUGUGAAAGCCCCCGGCUCAACCGGGGAGGGUCAUUGGAAACUGGGAGACUUGAGUGCAGAAGAGGAGAGUGGAAUUCCAUGUGUAGCGGUGAAAUGCGUAGAUAUAUGGAGGAACACCAGUGGCGAAGGCGGCUCUCUGGUCUGUAACUGACGCUGAGGCUCGAAAGCGUGGGGAGCGAACAGGAUUAGAUACCCUGGUAGUCCACGCCGUAAACGAUGAGUGCUAAGUGUUGGAGGGUUUCCGCCCUUCAGUGCUGCAGCAAACGCAUUAAGCACUCCGCCUGGGGAGUACGACCGCAAGGUUGAAACUCAAAGGAAUUGACGGGGGCCCGCACAAGCGGUGGAGCAUGUGGUUUAAUUCGAAGCAACGCGAAGAACCUUACCAGGUCUUGACAUCCUUUGACCACUCUAGAGAUAGAGCUUCCCCUUCGGGGGCAAAGUGACAGGUGGUGCAUGGUUGUCGUCAGCUCGUGUCGUGAGAUGUUGGGUUAAGUCCCGCAACGAGCGCAACCCUUAUUGUUAGUUGCCAUCAUUUAGUUGGGCACUCUAGCGAGACUGCCGGUGACAAACCGGAGGAAGGUGGGGAUGACGUCAAAUCAUCAUGCCCCUUAUGACC